CUUGUACUCCCUCCGUCCGGCAAUACUUCUCAUUGAAAUGGAUGUAUCUAGAUGUAUUUUAGUUCUAGACACCUCCAUUUUGAUGACAAGUAAUUUCGGACGGAGGGAGUACUUG
Triticum aestivum (bread wheat) is the source of this 115-nucleotide non-coding RNA. Lineage: Eukaryota; Viridiplantae; Streptophyta; Magnoliopsida; Poales; Poaceae. The record is from Rfam.